This is a long non-coding RNA of Solanum pennellii, 2911 nucleotides long. RefSeq lists it as uncharacterized. The transcript is spliced from 2 exons. NCBI's taxonomy places the organism in Eukaryota, Viridiplantae, Streptophyta, Magnoliopsida, Solanales, Solanaceae. The record is from RefSeq and is a predicted model, not a curated record.
CCAUUUUUUGAGAACACUUUUUCAGCCUUUUGUUUUUGUCUAAGUCCUCCUGUUGUUUUAGCUUAUUGUGCCACCUACAACUUCCCUCUAACCUUAUUAACCUCGUCUAACAAACUAUCAUAUUGUUGAGUAUGUAACUUUCUAGCUAAAGUCAAUAAGCAAAGGUUAUGCAAGCAUGGAAUACAACUUCAUUGGGUAUACAAAAGUUAUUUGAUAAAGCUUGAUAUUCUCAUAAAUGGUGAUUCUGGCAGAUUCACGAUAUGACUACAACCUAUUUGAUCAGAACAAGAUUAUAGGAUGCUCUGCAUAGACCAUUAUGUAAAGCUUUUACUGGAAAAAGAGGCAAUCACCUCUUUGCAAUAUGAAGAAAAUAGAACGAAGGCUGAAUAUCUAGAAAAAAAAGUCGCACAAAAAAACUAUACAUGUCCACGCCUCGCCAAGUCAUUCCUACAACAUGAAAGAUAUCCAACCUCUCAUAAUUUAUACCACAAAAACUGUACUUGUCCACACAAUGCGCCAAGUAAGUUCUACAAAUGCAUGCAUCAAGUACCAGUAGAAUACACUUUAAAAAUCACAAACAUGAGUUACAACAUCUAACUUAACAACUACUUUCAACAGAUAGUUCUAAUUCAUUACCACAUAUUAUUCGACUAGUAACAUAUUAGUUGUCCAUGCUCCUCACCCCAUCUCAAGUUUCCAUACAUGAGGUGAAUUGCAGCUUUUCUUUUAUGAUUUAUUUCCAUUGUGAUUUAAGAUUCUAUGAUUAUGUUAAAUAAAAUAACAUCGAAGUGUUAUAACUUAAAAAUGUCUCCUCUGCACGUGGCUCUAUCCAUUCUCCCUUUGUGCUAUCCUUUUUUUUUUCUUAUACGUCAGCCCAACCCAAUCAACAAUCCAACAACAAUACAAAUAUGGCCCCACCCCAUACCCUUCGUUUUUCUUCUUCUCUAGAAGUUCAAGAAAACUCAAUCCACGCGCUGCAAACUCCAGCAAAGUAGCGAACCAGACGCGACCAAAAUUGCGUGACCCGCGUCCCUCUCAACCAGUACAGUAGCAGCUGCACAUGAAUCGUGCUCAAUUCUUCCAGGUGGAGAAAUCUCAGGGCCUCCAUCGUCCUUCAUUCAAGAAUGAAUGGCUGCGAUUUUCAUUUAGUUGAAGAUGGGUACUAUUGACAGCUCCUCAACCAACUCUUAAUGGGUAUUCAAAUUUCGAAUUCGAAAAUGACACCCAAUUCCCUCCCAUUUUCCCCCCGUUUUCAGCCUUAGUUUCUCCUAUAUAAAUCCCUUUCUCCUUCCCUAUUGGGGUGCAAGAACAGUGGGUAAAAGAUACAAGAAAAAGACUGAAAUUCAUCAAGCAUAUGGAAGGAAAAACUGAGCAAAAAUAUACCAAGAUCCGGUCACCAUUUUACCUACAAAGGAAUAGCUUACAAUUUUUUUUAAAUAGUAGAGUUUAUAUCAAAGAGAUUCUGGAAAAUCUUCUAGUCUAAAGUCCUAGAAGUUUCAUUGUUUGAGUUUUUGGUUUGGACUCCUUGUUUGUUGUUCGAGUCUGACUCGCGUGAUAGGAUUCUCCUUGUAGUGGUGGAAGGUUUUGCAGGGCUUGUUAAAAAAGGUAACAGUUCUUCGAUUCGCUUGUCUUUUGUAUUUCCUAAAGUGAUGUAUUGCUAUCAAUAAUUAUUGAGUUCGAAAUAUAUACCUUUUUUGUGAUGUUUCUGGUUGUUCCAUUGUCUGCUAAUUGAAAUAUAGUUUUCGUUUAUUCAUGUCUAGACUCAUUGCUUAGUUGUUGGUUUUCUUUAGAAUAGUUCACUAUCUCUUUAGAGUUUGUCUUUGGAUGCCACAAGUCUACCUGUCUUUUGGCUUCCCUAUUUGGUUUUUAAAAUCAGUGCCUAAUUUUCUCUGAGGAAAGACAAAAAUCUCGAAGAUUAGAUAAUAUUUGAAUAGUAUGUUGUACUAGUCACUGUGUUGUAUGCAAAAGCUUGCCUGCUCCAUUUUUAUCUAGUUCAUUGUCUAUCCUGUCUUUAGAGUGUAUUGCUUGCAUCAGGCUCGCAUUUUUACAUUGCGCACAUUUUAGUAGAAAAUGUUCAUUAUGUGUAAUUGGUCCCCUUUAUGUUUAUUUCCUGGAAAGAAUUGAGGCAUUGCACAUGGCAUCAGUUUGUUGUGAAUAUAACAAAAGUUCACUGUGCCUAUUAUACCUUUUAGUUCCAUUUUUGCUUAGGCAUAUCAUGCUCUAGUUACCUUCUCUCCGAUUCUUUAAGUUUCAAUGCUCACUACUAUGUGUAUGCGCCACUAUCAAGUAUUAUAACUUGCAUAUCAACUUUGUCACUCUUAAUUUGGUUCAUUGGAUUUUCUCUAUAGUCAUAUGCAUUGGUUAAAAUUGAGUAUCUUUAAGUGGCUUUUCAUUUUGUAUUUUAUUUGAGAUAUGUUUUAUUUAUUUUAUCAUUUCAUAUGCUAAUUCAGCUAUAUUUUAUCCCAUGUGAAAUUCAUUUUGGGUCCUGUGGACUUUAUGUCUCCCCUCGCAUUUCUUGGUUGAGCCCCCAAAGGCUCAGACCUUCCUGGUCGAGUUGGUCAGCCUUCUAAAAAUGGUGAACAGGUUCAAGGCAACAAUAUGUUGCUGGAAAUUAAUUUUCCAGCCUUUGAAAGCCGAAAUAUAGGUUAAUAUACUGAUUGUAUACAAUUAUAUACGGUCAGAAUAUACAACAAACAGGUGCAAAAACGUGAAAAUACAGGUUGAAAAUGAAAGUCAGGGCGGAGAUGAAGUAUAAGUCCCGUAUACAUUGUAUACUUGGUAUAUACAGCAGGCUCAACAAGAAGAAAAAGCCUGAUUUGUCCCAAAUUUGCAUCAGAUUUGAAAUAUGGGCAAAAAGCCCAAAUUUGAAUAUUAUUCUUCCUUUAUCUUAUUUACUUAUUUAUUUAUUUAA